CGAGGAGAGAAUCGGAUGAGAUUCCCAGUGAUUUUCUGUCGAGACCGCAUGCUUGGAUGCAUUGAUCAGUUUCGAUCCAGUUUCUUAAUCUAUCAGCUUCAAUUUCGGAAGUACGGCAAGUGAAUGAUUCUUCUCCGCUCCUUUUGACGUGCUUCUCAAGUACGCAGCGCUUGCCGGUGGAUGAGAUUGCGUAAGAACAUGUUUCUUGGUCCAGAUGCUCGCAUCUUAUUUCUCCUAGAGUGCCUUGCGCACAGAGAACAAGGGCAAAAGCCAGGACAGCCAGGGUCUUGAAGCAAGCCAUAGGCACAGUUUUAAUGGGAAAUAAAUAAUAGCAAACUUAGGAUACAAAUUUGCUAACAACUUUGUGCUUGGCCUGCUAGGAGCUUGAUUC
Molecule: unclassified non-coding RNA, 391 nt
Filed under: Hevea brasiliensis (rubber tree)
Lineage: Eukaryota; Viridiplantae; Streptophyta; Magnoliopsida; Malpighiales; Euphorbiaceae
Source: RNAcentral